RNAcentral lists this ribosomal RNA (253 nucleotides) under uncultured bacterium. Its description in RNAcentral is "partial 16S ribosomal RNA". It matches the Rfam family "Bacterial small subunit ribosomal RNA", at positions 524 to 776 of the family's 1533-position model. The record is from RNAcentral.
UACGUAGGGUGCAAGCGUUGUCCGGAAUUAUUGGGCGUAAAGAGCUCGUAGGCGGUUUGUUGCGUCGGCUGUGAAAUCCCGAGGCUCAACCUCGGGUCUGCAGUCGAUACGAGCAAACUAGAGUGUUGCAGGGGAGACUGGAAUUCCUGGUGUAGCGGUGAAAUGCGCAGAUAUCAGGAGGAACACCGGUGGCGAAGGCGGGUCUCUGGGCAACAACUGACGCUGAGAAGCGAAAGCAUGGGGAGCGAACAGG